Molecule: ribosomal RNA, 301 nt
Filed under: uncultured bacterium
Lineage: Bacteria
Description: partial 16S ribosomal RNA
Rfam family: Bacterial small subunit ribosomal RNA
Source: RNAcentral
CAGUAGCCGCGGUAAUACGUAGGGUGCGAGCGUUAAUCGGAAUUACUGGGCGUAAAGCGUGCGCAGGCGGUUAUAUAAGACAGUUGUGAAAUCCCCGGGCUCAACCUGGGAACUGCAUCUGUGACUGUAUAGCUAGAGUACGGUAGAGGGGGAUGGAAUUCCGCGUGUAGCAGUGAAAUGCGUAGAUAUGCGGAGGAACACCGAUGGCGAAGGCAAUCCCCUGGACCUGUACUGACGCUCAUGCACGAAAGCGUGGGGAGCAAACAGGAUUAGAGACCCGUGUAGUCCCUGUCUCUUAUAC